This 406-nucleotide ribosomal RNA is filed under the name uncultured bacterium. Its description in RNAcentral is "partial 16S ribosomal RNA". It matches the Rfam family "Bacterial small subunit ribosomal RNA", at positions 30 to 526 of the family's 1533-position model. The record is from RNAcentral.
AUUGAACGCUGGCGGCAGGCCUAACACAUGCAAGUCGAUCGAGCGGCGGACGGGUGCGUACUGUCUGGGAAACUGCCUGAUGGAGGGGGAUCACUACUGGAAACGGUAGCUAAUACCGCAUACCAUCAGAUGUGCCCAGAUGGGAUUAGCUAGUAGUGUGGGUAACGGCUCACCUAGGCGACGAUCCCUAGCUGGUCUGAGAGGAUGACCAGCCACACUGGAACUGAGACACGGUCCAGACUCCUACGGGAGGCAGCAGUGGGGAAUAUUGCACAAUGGGCGCAAGCCUGAUGCAGCCAUGCCGCGUGUGUGAAGAAGGCCUUCGGGUUGUAAAGCACGUUCAGCGGGGAGGCGUUACCCGCAGAAGAAGCACCGGCUAACUCCGUGCCAGCAGCCGCGGUAAUUC